GAUGAACGCUGGCGGCGUGCUUAACACAUGCAAGUCGAACGGGCCGAGCAAUCGGCCAGUGGCAAACGGGUGCGUAACACGUGGGUAACCUACCCCAGAGUGGGGAAUAACGAUCCGAAAGGAUCGCUAAUACCGCAUAUGCUCGCGAGAGUAAAGCCAUUCGCAAGGAUGGCGCUUUGGGAGGGGCCUGCGGCCCAUCAGGUAGUUGGGGAGGUAAUGGCUCACCAAGCCGAUGACGGGUAGCUGAUCUGAGGGGAUGACCAGCCACACUGGCACUGCGACACGGGCCAGACUCCUACGGGAGGCAGCAGUGAGGAAUAUUGCGCAAUGGGCGAAAGCCUGACGCAGCAACGCCGCGUGCGGGAUGAAGGCCUUCGGGUUGUAAACCGCUUUUCGGGGGGACGAGGGAUGGACGGUACCCCCGGAAUCAGUCUCGGCUAACUACGUGCCAGCAGCCGCGGUAAAACGUAGGAGGCGAGCGUUAUCCGGAUUCACUGGGCGUAAAGCGCGUGUAGGUGGCUCGCUAUGUCGAAGGUGAAAGCCUCUGGCUUAACUGGGGGAGGUCUUUCGAAACUGGCGGGCUUGAGGGCAGGAGAGGAAGGUGGAAUUCCCGGUGUAGCGGUGGAAUGCGUAGAGAUCGGGAGGAACACCAGUGGCGAAAGCGACCUUCUGGCCUGUCCCUGACACUGAGACGCGAAAGCGUGGGGAGCAAACGGGAUUAGAUACCCCGGUAGUCCACGCCCUAAACGAUGAGGGCUGGGUGUAGGGGCCAACCGGCCUCUGUGCCGAAGCUAACGCGUUAAGCCCUCCGCCUGGGGACUACGAGCGCAAGCUUA
This 836-nucleotide ribosomal RNA is filed under the name uncultured bacterium. RNAcentral's name for it is "bacterial SSU rRNA". It matches the Rfam family "Bacterial small subunit ribosomal RNA", at positions 28 to 896 of the family's 1533-position model. The record is from RNAcentral.